This 1346-nucleotide ribosomal RNA is filed under the name uncultured bacterium. RNAcentral describes it as "partial 16S ribosomal RNA". It matches the Rfam family "Bacterial small subunit ribosomal RNA", at positions 28 to 1381 of the family's 1533-position model. The record is from RNAcentral.
GACGAACGCUUGCGGCGUGCUUAACACAUGCAAGUCGAACGGAAAGGCCCUGCUUUUGUGGGGUGCUCGAGUGGCGAACGGGUGAGUAACACGUGAGUAACCUGCCCUUGACUUUGGGAUAACUUCAGGAAACUGGGGCUAAUACCGGAUAGGAGCUCCUGCUGCAUGGUGGGGGUUGGAAAGUUUCGGCGGUUGGGGAUGGACUCGCGGCUUAUCAGCUUGUUGGUGGGGUAGUGGCUUACCAAGGCUUUGACGGGUAGCCGGCCUGAGAGGGUGACCGGCCACAUUGGGACUGAGAUACGGCCCAGACUCCUACGGGAGGCAGCAGUGGGGAAUAUUGCACAAUGGGCGGAAGCCUGAUGCAGCAACGCCGCGUGCGGGAUGACGGCCUUCGGGUUGUAAACCGCUUUCGCCUGUGACGAAGCGUGAGUGACGGUAAUGGGUAAAGAAGCACCGGCUAACUACGUGCCAGCAGCCGCGGUGAUACGUAGGGUGCGAGCGUUGUCCGGAUUUAUUGGGCGUAAAGGGCUCGUAGGUGGUUGAUCGCGUCGGAAGUGUAAUCUUGGGGCUUAACCCUGAGCGUGCUUUCGAUACGGGUUGACUUGAGGAAGGUAGGGGAGAAUGGAAUUCCUGGUGGAGCGGUGGAAUGCGCAGAUAUCAGGAGGAACACCAGUGGCGAAGGCGGUUCUCUGGGCCUUUCCUGACGCUGAGGAGCGAAAGCGUGGGGAGCGAACAGGCUUAGAUACCCUGGUAGUCCACGCUGUAAACGGUGGGUACUAGGUGUGGGGUCCGUUCCACGGGUUCCGUGCCGUAGCUAACGCUUUAAGUACCCCGCCUGGGGAGUACGGCCGCAAGGCUAAAACUCAAAGGAAUUGACGGGGCCCCGCACAAGCGGCGGAGCAUGCGGAUUAAUUCGAUGCAACGCGUAGAACCUUACCUGGGUUUGACAUGGAUCGGGAGUGCUCAGAGAUGGGUGUGCCUCUUUUGGGGUCGGUUCACAGGUGGUGCAUGGCUGUCGUCAGCUCGUGUCGUGAGAUGUUGGGUUAAGUCCCGCAACGAGCGCAACCCUUGUUCACUGUUGCCAGCACGUUAUGGUGGGGACUCAGUGGAGACCGCCGGGGUCAACUCGGAGGAAGGUGGGGAUGACGUCAAGUCAUCAUGCCCCUUAUGUCCAGGGCUUCACGCAUGCUACAAUGGCUGGUACAGAGAGUGGCGAGCCUGUGAGGGUGAGCGAAUCUCGGAAAGCCGGUCUCAGUUCGGAUUGGGGUCUGCAACUCGACCUCAUGAAGUCGGAGUCGCUAGUAAUCGCAGAUCAGCAACGCUGCGGUGAAUACGUUCCCGGGGCU